Molecule: ribosomal RNA, 1004 nt
Filed under: human gut metagenome
Description: bacterial LSU rRNA
Rfam family: Bacterial large subunit ribosomal RNA
Source: RNAcentral
GUAAACGGCGGCCGUAACUAUAACGGUCCUAAGGUAGCGAAAUUCCUUGUCGGGUAAGUUCCGACCUGCACGAAUGGCAUAAUGAUGGCCAGGCUGUCUCCACCCGAGACUCAGUGAAAUUGAAAUCGCCGUGAAGAUGCGGUGUACCCGCGGCUAGACGGAAAGACCCCGUGAACCUUUACUAUAGCUUGACACUGAACAUUGAAUUUUGAUGUGUAGGAUAGGUGGGAGACUUAGAAGAUGAUACGCCAGUAUUGUUGGAGUCGUCCUUGAAAUACCACCCUUUAACGUUUGAUGUUCUAACGAAGAUUACGAAACGUGGUCUCGGACAGUGUCUGGUGGGUAGUUUGACUGGGGCGGUCUCCUCCCAAAGAGUAACGGAGGAGCACGAAGGUUUGCUAAUGACGGUCGGACAUCGUCAGGUUAGUGCAAUGGUAUAAGCAAGCUUAACUGCGAGACAGACAAGUCGAGCAGGUACGAAAGUAGGUCAUAGUGAUCCGGUGGUUCUGAAUGGAAGGGCCAUCGCUCAACGGAUAAAAGGUACUCCGGGGAUAACAGGCUGAUACCGCCCAAGAGUUCAUAUCGACGGCGGUGUUUGGCACCUCGAUGUCGGCUCAUCACAUCCUGGGGCUGAAGUAGGUCCCAAGGGUAUGGCUGUUCGCCAUUUAAAGUGGUACGCGAGCUGGGUUUAGAACGUCGUGAGACAGUUCGGUCCCUAUCUGCCGUGGGCGUUGGAGAAUUGGUUGGGGCUGCUCCUAGUACGAGAGGACCGGAGUGGACGCACCACUGGUGUUCCGGUUGUGUCGCCAGACGCAUUGCCGGGUAGCUAAGUGCGGAAGAGAUAAGUGCUGAAAGCAUCUAAGCACGAAACUUGCCAAGAGAUGAGUUCUCCCUGUCUUUAAGACAGUAAGGGUUGUUUAAGACUAAGACGUAGAUAGGUCUGGUGUGUAAGCGGUGCGAGCCGUUGAGCUAACAGAUACUAAUUGCCCGAGAGGCUUAACUAU